Molecule: unclassified non-coding RNA, 352 nt
Filed under: soil metagenome
Description: partial contains 5.8S ribosomal RNA, internal transcribed spacer 2, and large subunit ribosomal RNA
Rfam family: 5.8S ribosomal RNA (bases 2-119)
Source: RNAcentral
GUGAAGAACGUAGCGAAAUGCGAUAAGUAAUGUGAAUUGCAGAAUUCAGUGAAUCAUCGAAUCUUUGAACGCACAUUGCGCCCGCCAGUAUUCUGGCGGGCAUGCCUGUUCGAGCGUCAUUACAACCCUCAGGCCCCCGGGCCUGGCGUUGGGGAUCGGCGGAAGCCCCCUGCGGGCACAACGCCGUCCCCCAAAUACAGUGGCGGUCCCGCCGCAGCUUCCAUUGCGUAGUAGCUAACACCUCGCAACUGGAGAGCGGCGCGGCCACGCCGUAAAACACCCAACUUCUGAAUGUUGACCUCGAAUCAGGUAGGAAUACCCGCUGAACUUAAGCAUAUCAAUAAGCGGAGGA